This is a long non-coding RNA of Lineus longissimus, 5983 nucleotides long. RefSeq lists it as uncharacterized. NCBI's taxonomy places the organism in Eukaryota, Metazoa, Nemertea, Pilidiophora, Heteronemertea, Lineidae. The record is from RefSeq and is a predicted model, not a curated record. The transcript is spliced from 6 exons.
ACCGGCGCGGUUGAACCGCGGCCUUUCCGCCCUUCCGCGGUCCUAGCCCUUCCAGACCUGCAUCCCGGUGACAGCUCCCGUGAUCCCGGACUCAGACGGCGCAUCUUGGACUUGACCAAAAUGGGAGCAGUUGCCAGGACGGGCCUGGCCGGCGCGCCCAGACACGAACUGAAGCCAUUCAGGAACUCAAAAUCAGCUGUUAGACCGUGAGACCGGCGAUCGAGACAUUUCAGAAACCUCUCUCAAUUGCUAAAAAAAUUCACGGAAGUGUUCCGAUUUUUUAGUGUUUCCUGUGAGUUUUAUCAGUGUUUUCCUCGAUUUGUUUGCACUUUGUUCCCGACCCUUUGAAAGGUUUUGUUUCGAUUUAGGGAAACGUCCCUUUUGUCGGAGACUUUCGCGCUAGACAUGACCGGGACGAGUUCAAAUUCGCCCGACUUUGAUAGGACGAAUGUCGACGAUUAAAACAAGGACAGCAGGUGAAAGAACAUUCUACGUGCACGGCAGACUCUUUCCCUUUGAACAGUUCAGACCGCAAUGAUUGCAACUUCUCAAGUGGGUGGGAAAAGGGUUCCAGACACCGACAGACUAGAUGUGGGGUUCGAGAAACCAGAAUGAGAGCUUCGAGAAAAGUUCGUCCAGAAUCGAGAUGUUGAUGCAGAAGGAACUCUGGUGCAGAAAGUCACGUGCAUGAUGAAGAAGUGAACGCUUGAGAGAUGCAACCUUUAAAGCGCCGGAGAAAAAAGCGCGCUAAACCGUCUGCGUGCCUCGUUGUGGUUCUGCAUACCGUAAGUCCAAAAUGGCUGGAGAGGAUGAUGGUCAACCCCAAAUGACGUCGGAGACAGACCAGUGAAGCCAGAAGGAUGCCCAGCGCGGUCCACAGUCAAACGGGGUCAAGGACACUGGCUGCCGCAUUGAUUUCAACCUCUGCCACAGUGGCGCUGCAUUCGCUUUUUGCUAUGUCCUACCACAACGAGCCACGACAGAACUUGGCGACCCAGAUUGAUAGUCAAAAGGAAUUAUUUCGUGAUGUUUCAUGAAGAACUGCACGGUACAUCUCCCAGUGAUUGUGAAUGGGGGCGUGCAACAUCACUAGUAGUUCACGCUUCUCCACAAAGGGGGCACUGAAUAAUUGAUGUCAUUGCUGCACAUAGGAGGCAGCACGUUUCACUCAAAUGAUGACAUCAAAACGAUAAAAUAAUCAUGAUCCUAAAUUUUGAAAAAUGCAUGGCAAAGAAAAGGUUGGAAAGCGGCUGAUUUUGUUCUAUAAGACACAUUUGUCAGGAAGGACUCUGGAGCCCUGGAACCCAGGCGCUGUUGGGAGUCUUGGCGUCGACAUGGCAGUACAUGUAUACUGUGAGAACUAAUCUAGGGGUGACCUAAACUGAUAUAACUAACGAACUGGAAUGAAUCUGCUCAACUAUAUUGUAAGGUGCUAUAUUAUAAUUAAUUUGUACAUAAUGAUAGAAUUCGUUCUCCGAAUAUGGAGGUUAAAAUAUGCUAGCGCACAAGAUGUGGUCUCAGGGAUGUACAUAAAUUGUGUGGUUUUUAUAGUUAACUUCAUUUUGGCCAAUAGGGGGCUCUCUGUGCGGCAAAAUAUUGUUCUAGAAGUUUUCUCAUCAGUCAGGCUCAAGACUACUGGUAUUUUCGUAAACAUAUGACACUCAGAAACGGUAUUCAAAUCCAUAUAUUUGGAGUACAUAAUUGAAAGUAUUUAGUUCAAUUAUUUGCGAAUUAGAUCAAACCACCUUCUCUUGGCUGCACGGAAUACCCCCUGUUGCGACACUUGUGAUUUCAUCUGGUAGCUAAUGGGCGACCUCCGUAUAUCAGCCGUCGAUACCCAUCGGGACAUUUAAUUCCCUUGCUCUUCGCUAGGGGAUGAGUGGAUUGUUAUUUUCCGCCAUCUUUGUUAUUGAAUGCGCGAGCAUGGCAACCUGCGAAGCGUGGCAGGGGCUAUCCUGGUCGUGUCCCAGCUUAGUGCCCGUGUGUGGCUGAGGUCAGUUGUGAUUGAAGACGCCACAACCCCCUUAGCGAGCGUAUCUGGUACUGAUAUAGAUAUAUCUGACUUGGUUAUUAGAUCGAGGAAGCAACACUGUUUCCGCUGUCGAUUAAAAUAUCGAGAUUUCAACUAAGUUGUUCACCUGUUGUUAGUAGGUGUAGUUCAACAAUAAUAUUCAAUAUGCCGGUCGAUAGUGAUCCCGGCUGAUUGCGAAGUCUGCCCAGUUAAUCACAAAAUCCAGCCGCCGAUAGUUUCACACCAACGCAUAUCGGCAGCAUUUCAGAACUAUCGACGGCUCGGUUGUCGUUAUAUUCAUCGCCGCUGUAAAUAAGAUUGUACGUGUGAUUGUAUUAUUAACUGCAUUAACUAUCUAUUCUUAUUAGACUAGGCCUACACAACGUUCGAAAGAGGGAUCAUAAUCCAGCUGACAUUGUAAAUAAUAUCAUAAAUGUAUAGACUAAAAGACAUCAGUUGGAAAAGCUCUAUAAUCCGACUUCAUCGUUCCCACUUGCUAUCCACUCAAUUGUUGCCACUACUUUUCCUCUCCGCACAUGAUUUUAGUUUUACACGUACUCUUACACUUUUAGCUAAUUGACUGUACCUGCUUAACUCGCUUGGUCACGGAACGAAAUGAGUAGAACGGCUCUGCCCGCUAUUUUGGAACAGUGUGUGUACGCUUCCUCCGACAUACAGAUGGAGCAGGACGCACGCGAAUUGGAGAGAAGUCCAAAAUGGCAGGCAUAACCGUUCUUCGUAUUUUAUCUGCUUUAACCCUCUCUUUCUUCCCUUCCCGUUAAGCAUUAGUCUUCAUUCUUGGCACCAGGUGUCACUAGCGUAUUGUCAACAGAUCUUUAGUCUGGCACUGUCACUUCUUUUAACACACGACCACGUUUCCAUCUUCAUUCGCAACAUAAAACAAGAUCCAUCAUCCCAGUGUGACGUUUCACCAUCAGGUGGCAAUAGUUGUAGUAUAACCUUUCUUCAAUUCAAAGCAGACGAUACGUCAUGCAUCAGUCAUCAGAGUUCUGGUCUUGCUCUUGACGGCAUUUCACUUGUCAUGAACUAGAUUUGGGGGCGUCAGUAUUGACAGUGCAUCCACUGUAUGCACUGAAAAUGCAUGGCUCGCCUCGGGUAAAUCAACGAGGCCUCCUCGACCCUCCGCUGCGCGGCGGAUAGGGUCGAGGUUACCUGGACUGGUCAUGCGGGAGGAGAAAGUAGCAUUCACGCCAUCUUCUGGUGAAUCAUCACACUGACGUAAACUAUCCGGUUAAAUCUCGCUUGCCAUAAGAAGCGCAUGCGCAGUAGCACAAGCUGGCACUGCCAUCGUGGAUUUGAAUUCCAAGUGCCAUACAUUUAUUGAUCGUAAGGUUUUUUGUACACGGGUUACUAUGGUUGUUGUGAGAGUAGAGAGGGGUCUAAAUUGUAUCUUCUUAGAAUGUAGACAUGUCCCCACCAAAAAAGGGGAAAAUGUUUGUUUUGCCCGGAGAAACAAAUCCGUUGAAGGAUGGGUUUGGCCGUAGUUACAGUCUGAAAAUGCACCUCCACUGCGUUGAAAAAGUGACCUUCCCUAUUUUAUUCUAACGGAUUAAGGUAGAGUAAUAUAGAUACCCAGAAUAUCCAGAAUAUCUUUGAAAUCAAACACAUAUUAUAAUUCAUUUUUCCCAGGGACACUCUAUCUUCGAGGAGAGUCGUAGUCUCGAUUCUCACAAGUUCGCCAUCUUCAGGAAUCUCUAAGAACUAAAUGUACUGUCCUUGGCGUAGACAUCAGAGUAGUAUACACUUGCACGUACAUGUAUGAGUGUAUACACUGCUGUAAAAUAAUUCAUCUCUUCUUUCGUCUGAAUUCGAUCAAUUGUUUUUGGUGGUAUCUAGACAGAACUAUCUUUUGUCCGAGUGUGUCAAGCUUUCUAAUCGAAAGUUUCAAUAUGCCAAUGAUAACUUUAGAUUAAGAAGGAAAAAUUGGACGGAUUGGAUAUAUUGCUCAGCGCUUAGGAUGUACAAGUCCUGGUUUUCUUUCAGUUCUUUGGUCACCAAGGGCAAAUUUGCGAUGUUAGUUAAGACUUUUAGUACUGAUGGCGAUAGUGUUGGCUUGCUUCAGCCCGGUGUAACAUCGUGGUUGUCCCCCAUUUAGUAUAGAUGGCGAUAGUGUUGGCUUGCUUCAGCCCGGUGUAACAUCGUGGUUGUCCCCCAUUUAGUAUAGAUGGCGAUAGUGUUGGCUUGCUUCAGCCCGGUGUAACAUCGUGGUUGUCCCCCAUUUAGUAUAGAUGGCGAUAGUGUUGGCUUGCUUCAGCCCGGUGUAACAUCGUGGUUGUUCCCCAUUUUCCAGUGUUUCCCCAAACUAAAAACCUCACAGAUACUAUUUAACUAUGCACUUGGCCCCUUACGAAAUGACCGGAAUCUUUCAGCCGAAAUUGACCAAGUGUCUUUGUCCCGUCCGUUCCCGAUCUGUUUGGCAAAGGUCACGAAUAUUGACAUAGGCGACGGUACAUUUCUCGCCCACCUGUUGUGUAUGUCGCAGGUGAAGAGCUUGCCUGCUAACACCCAGUUUAUUACAGCUCUGAAAAUUAGGAUAAAAUAACUUUCAGAUUGACCUUUCGGUCGUUGAUUGAUUGGCAAAAUCCUGGACAUAGUUUGUAUAUGAACCUUAGCGAAAGUUCCCCUAUUCAAGUUUUUAUAUGAGAAAGACUUUCUUAUCGCAGCAACUCGGGAAUUGAGAUUUUAUUACCCAAAAAUGAGACAAACCCGGUUAUUCAUAAUUAUUCUGCCAUGACGUUUAUGCCGAUGUGAUCUUAUGCAAAUAAUUAUGUGCACUGCAGGGUUCAAGCCAAAGCAGCCACCGCGCCGUCGAUAGUUCUGCAUAAGUGGGAACUAUCGGCGGCGCAGUUAUUGCGGCUAGUUUCAAAUAUAAAACUAUACAAACGAAUCUACCUCGAAACAUAGAUCAAUUCGUGAUGUGAUGUUAUGCGUGACGUCAUAGCGGUUUUACGUGCAGUUUACGAAAUUAGAGCCAUUUGCUUUCACUGCAUUUUGAAUUAUCUCGAAUGACCUCAAUUUCAUGCGCCUGGGUGAUUUCGUCAGCAAAAUUUGAAUCGUGCGAUGGGCUUACGGGAUUUUAGGCAACGACACGAAUGCGACGAAAUGGGUUGCGAUCAUUAUUUCAAAAUGAACCUGGUUCUCAAAUAUUGUAGACUGCUCAGGGUUGACUGCCGAUGUCAACAUCACAUCAUCAUAGGCCAUCAUCAUUGUGACCAGCCAGAUAUGCAUCGAUCAGACGUCGAAACAAAUUUGAACGUGUAUGGAUUCCAAAACAGGUCUUGUCCUAAGAACUCGCUUAAAAUGACGUCAGCAAAUGCGGAUUGAAUUGAACAGUGGGCAUUUGGUGCCACCUAUCGGUGAAAUGAUACUGAAAGACUAUGACGAAGAGGCUUAACCAAUCAAACGUCACGAUUGCAAGCAAAGUUUGUAGAAUUGAUGACAGCAGUAGGUUCCUCUUCUCGCCGAUAGAGGAGCUAUCAUAAGAUCAUUUACUUGUGCAUUUAUGUAAUAUGUAUAUUAUUUGUGUAAAUGUGUAUAUUUUGCAAUGCUUAAUGUGAGAAAUGGCAUAUGGCAACCUUGUCUCCUGAAGGCUUGCACUACUGGUUUCGAGGUUGCCAGAACAUUCUCGGAAACGGUUAGGAAAAAUUGACAGGGAAUGAUGUACAUAGGAAGUUUUUGAACGUAUUUUUUUAAUAUUUCCACGGUGACAAGUCACGUGACUUGUUGCCUGGAUACGACGAAGCUAAGGUAUGCCAAAGAAUGUAAAAAACUAGGUAAAAUCUGGGCCCUAAUAAUAGUAAUGUUAUUAUUUAGACCUUUAAUUAUUAGAGGGAUUAUUUCUAGUUCUAAGAAAAUUAUUGUUGUGAAUAUUGUGUGUUUGGUUAUAAAUCUUUAUUGUACAUGUAAUGACGCGAAGUUUUAUACAUGAUAAUAAAAGUGAAUUCGGAGUAA